AUCAUUAUUAUCUGAAGCUGCUUCUUCCUUGUUUUCUAAUACAUCUGCUGGGAGUAGUGGUUUUGUUCCGAGUUCAAUUCUUACAAUGGCAUCAUUCAAAAUGGAAACAAAUGAAUGUUGAUUCAAUUUUAUGCAGUUAGGGAGGAGAAAAGUACGCGUAUUUUGGUGUAUUUUGGUUUGUUCAUUUGUUCAAUUCAACACAUUCUGAAGAGAUUCACAGUUCCAAACACGGAACGACUGAAUGGAUUGUGGAAGAGAAGGUAUAGAUUGAAGCAUUUCACAGUUAGCAACUUCAAAAAACAUGAGUCUUGGAAGACAAUUAAUGCUUUCAGGUAAGCUUAUGAUAGGACAGGCAAAUAGUCCUAAAUUCUCCAAUGAUGAUAGCAAGGAGAUGCUGUCUGGGAUUUCAGAUAAAUUGUGACAAUAACUGAAACAUAAACCUCUAACAUACCUGAAACAAGGGCUAGGGAGUAAUUUAUGCAAGGUGGUCAAAGUAUCUUUGUCAUUCAUCUUUGAGUCAGAAAGUGUGAUAUCGUAUGAAAAGUUUUCAGGAAGAUCCACAAGACUCUCACAAAUGGGAAAAGUAAAUACAUCAAGAUUUCUGAUGAGCAAAGUUGAUGAUGUCAGCCCAGUUGUCGUUGUGGAAGGAUCGUUAGUGUUUUGGGGCAUUGAUAUGAACUCUUGGAGAUUGUAACAUUCACCUGCAUAAAGUCUCUGGAAAGAUUGUGAACGAGUGCUGCUGUAGAGGCUCUUAAGUGACUUACAUCCACUCACAUUUAGGUCUUCAAGCUUUGGGAGAUUGAAAAUAGAUGGGUCAACAUGACAUAUGCUUUCACAAUUUUCAAGUUUUAUAUGCUUAAGAUUUGGGGCAUUGGAAAAAUUUGGACACUCUAACAAGCGUGCAGACUUACUAAGGUCAAUUCUCUCUAAACUCGGAAAAUUCUGUAACAAUAUAUAUUGGAAGAACAAGUUAGUUUAUGAUUUUCCUAUUCUUGAAAAUAUUCAAUAUUUAUUGAAAUAGAAUUAGCUUUUCUCUUAUCAAAAGAUAAACAAGAACAUAACAGAUACAUCAUACCUGUGCUCCAUUCCAAAGUUUUUCCAGGUUGCUAUAGGGAAGGUAAAGUUCAACAAGAUUCGAUGGAGAAAAAUUUGAUGGUAGAGAAUUUAAUGGAUAUGCACUCCAUCCAAAACUUCGCAAGUUGUUAGGAAAAAAAUCAACGCCCUCCAGAAGAUGCACAGAAUUAAAUCCCAUAACAUCUUGAUGGUGGUCGUUGAAAGCAAGCAUUUUUAGGUUUGGCAUCUUUGUGAAUGCGUUAGAGUUCAAAUUUAUGCAGGUAGUUUGAUCCAUAUCUAAGCAUAUGCUUUCAACUGCAGUAGUCCCCUGAUAAAUGAAAAUUAGAAUCAUAUAUAUAUAUAUAUGAGUUUUGCUGUAAGACACCCAUGAAGGUGUCUUUUAGCAAUCCACACCUCAAGGUGUGAUUAUCAACUUUUUAGUUAUAACCUGCUAAAAGACACCUUGAUAAAAAUUAUUUGGUGUCUUUUAGCAAUUGCCUAUAGGAUAACUUGCUAAAACACACCUUCAUAAAAGGUGUCUUCUAGCAAAACCCUAUAUAUAUACAUGUUUUUUGCAAUGCAAGUCAAGGUAUAUAUCAUUAUUACAUUAUUGUCUGUCAGCACAUCACAAAUUUCGUCAGCAUUCCACAACCUACUGCGUUGUCUAGGGUUUUUGAUAGAUUCUUCACGAACAAUUUCCCUACCCAUUUGUUUUAUCAAGUCAUGCAUCUUUAUGAAAUUUUCUGAAGUAAUUGUUACAAGAGCCUUGUCUAAUAGGUUUCUUAUCCCAAUAUCUGCAAAAAAACCACAUGCAUUUAAUAUUUUUGUUACACUGCUGCUGCUUCCAAAUCCUUUGAAAAAACAUGCAACGUCUAGAAAUAUAUUUUUCUCUGUAUCAUCUAAUUCAUCAUAGCUUAACCUCAACACCUUUUGAAUUUCAGCAUUGGGAAUUUCCUUCAGUUUGUUUAAAGCACUAUUCCAUUCUUUUUUACUUUUUGUACGAAGAAAUGAACCCAGAACUUUCAAAGCCAAAGGGUUGCCUUUUGUAUAAGAAACUACAUUGUUUGAUAUCUCUUCAUAUCCCUCAUUGGGAAGGAUUUUUUUGAAAGCAUUCAAACUGAACAACCUGAUGGAGUUUUGAGAGUUCAUUUCCUUAACUUGAUGAAUUUCGUCAAUUCCUCCUCCUGUCAACACAUGCUUAUCUCUGGUUGUCACAAUGACUCUGCUACCAACUCCAAGGCAAUCAUGCCCUGCUCCAAUCAAAUUAUCUAGAAGUUCUAAAGUACGAACAUCAUCUAGUACAAUGAAAGCUUUCAUGCGUUUGAGUCUUUUCAUAACCAUAGAUGAUAUUACUUUAGGAGUCUCAAUAUGAAGAUCUUCCCCUAGUAACUUAGAAAGAAGUCUGUUGUAUGUGUAACUGAGCCCAUGUCUCUUUGAUUCUUCUGUGACAUUUUCUAGGAAGCAACUACCUUCAUACAUGGAAGAUACCUUCUGAAAUAUGGCAGCAGCAAGGGUUGUCUUUCCUAUGCCUCCCAUGCCCCAAAUUCCAAUAGUUCUAACUUCUCUUGAAUCUACUUUUAAUAAUGAUUCAAUGCUUGAAUAGUUUUCAUCUGGUAUGAACAAGCAUCUAAGUUCAUUUGUAUACUUUUGAUUCAAUUUUUGGAGGACUGCUUUGAUGAUGUCUCCAAUCAAGUCAGCUUCAGUCCUAAAAUAUAAGAAUACAGAUAAAUGCUUUUGAUUCAAUUUUUCUUCAAUUUUUGAAGUUUUGCAAGUUGGAGAGAGAUAGAUACAAAAAAUAGAUGGUGGAUCCCACCAUCAUUAGUUAUAUUUUAUUUUUUUCAAGAUUUUAAUUGUCCUUAUCUCUUUAAAUUGAAGAAAUGGAGAAACACAUAAAUAGAGAGGAUCCUAACCCUAUAAAAUGGGUCUGUUUGUUAUAGCUUUUUUCAAAAUAGAUUUUUGUAGUGUAAAAUGUUUUUGUUAUAAUUUUUUAACAAAGAAAUUUUCAAAGGAAAGCUUUGUCAAAAAAAAAAAAAUCAAUUCAAGGAAAGUUUCAAAUGAAAAAUUCGUUUGAAUAACUUAUCUUAAAAUGUCAUUUUAAGUAUUUCAUCAUUUUGUUAAAAAAAAUAUUGGAUACUAAAUUUUGAAAAAAUCUCUAAAAAAAAGCUAUUUCAAAUAACUUUUUAUAAAAAUCAUUUUUUAAAAAAUGUCAUUUUGAAAAAAUAUGUAAUUUUUACUAUGUCAAAAUAUCUUUUUUAACUUACACUAAAUGAGUUUGAAAUAACUUAUACUAUUUUUGACUAAAUUUCCAAAAAAUAUCCAUUUUUUUGGAAUCUAAAACAAACGGGCCCAUGUCUUACCUCUAUGUUUAAAAAAAAAAAUAGAUUUUGAGAAAAGCUAAUCCUAAUAGUUUUUUAUUUUAGAGUGAAAAUAGAUUUUUUUUUUAUAAAAUAAUUUUGCUAAAAAUCCUAAACAAACACUUAAAAAUGAUAAAAUAGAUGUUUUUUUACAACAAAAAAAAAAUAGAAUUUUUCAUGAAAAAAUCCAAAACAAACGGGGCCUAUAUCUGUUUUCUUGAUAAAAAUAAUCGAAGUUACAAAAUUUUAUUUGUUUAUUUAAAAUAAACUAUUUUUUAUCUUGGUCCCCUGUAUAAGAGGAAACUCCAAUUCAUCAUUUAUAUCAUAAUUUUUUAUAUAAAAAAAUAAACUUAGUGGUGGAAAUGAUCCUUAGGCAUUAGAAUUUGUAAAAGUAGAAGCAAAGAAAAUACCUAUAUGUACUUGAAUCAAAGCCAGAUAAAUUAGCUACUUCAAAGAGAGCAAUCUUCCACCUUUGAAUCUUAUCUUUGCCUUGUUUCUUUUGUUUCAACAACGCUGUGUGGUAACUUCCUGUCUGCUUUCGGACAUGUGAAGCUUCUAUACGGUAGAACACAGGAAUAACAACAACGUUGUCUUCGUCAUUUUUUUUGCACUUCAUUAUUUCAACGAGUUCAUUCAAACACCAUGUUGAAGAUGCAUAGUUUUCUGAGAACACAACCAAAAAUAAAGCGGAUGCUUUAAUUGCUUUUUCUAGUUCUUCCCAAACCUCUUCUCCUUUUUCGAUUCUAUAGUCUAUGUAGGUUUCGAUGUGGUUUUUACACAAAGCCGCAUGAAGAAAGCUUGUAAAAUUGGUGCGAGUAUCCUCCCCUCUAAAACUGAUAAAAACAUCGUGUUUUUUGAAAGGAGAAGAAGAAGAAGAAGAAGAAGCCAUAACUAUCUUUGAAUGUUUAUGCUUUGGUUGUGGAAGAUACAGACUACUACAAUAACAUUGUCUUGAACUUUUAUAUUUAUGAUAUUGGUAACAUCACGCUUUCUUUUUCAAGUUAAUGUUGAAUAGUUUUUUUUUUUUUUUAAUGAAUAAACUUAAUUUAAAUCUUCAAAAAUUUCGUGGCAUAAUUUAAUCACCGAAAAAGAUGAUAUCUAAUUAGUCUAUGAUAUUUUUUAUAGGGUUAAAUAUGUUUUUGGUCCCUAUAAAUAUAUCAACUUUUUGUUUUAGUCCCUCUAAAAUUUUCCUACGAUUUUUAGUCCCUAUAAAAUUUUCAAUCUUCACUUUUGGUCCCUCUUUUAAAGUAAACUCAUAUGUAGAAUUCAUAUUAUUUAAUAAAACUUUCCAGAAAAAUUAAAAAUAUUAUAAGAAUCACUCCAAAAAAAAUUCAGAAUUUUUUAACAAAACAUGAAUUUAAUAUGAAUUUAUAUAUUUUUUACAGUUAAAAAUUCAUAUUUAAUUUGUGUUUUGUUAAAAAAUUCUAAUUUUUUAAAGGAAAUUUUUUUAGAAUAUUUUACAUAUUUCUGCAUAAUUUCAUUAAAAAAUAGAAAAAUUAAAUUAAAAAUAGGGACCAAAAGUAGUGAUUGAAAAUUUUAUAGGGACUAAAUGUUGAAGGAAAAUUUUAGAGAGACUAAAACGAAAAGUUUACAUAUUUAUAGAGACCAAAAACAUAUUUAACCCUUUUUUAUAUAAGAGAUAAUAAAUCUUUUAUUUUUUUUAAUUACACAGGGGCUAGUUUAAGUCCCAUAUAAAAAUUUGAGAGAUAAAUUUCAUACUAUUUAUCAUGAGACAGAAAUGGGAAUUGUUUUUGUUGGCAAAGUCUAUGGUACACCCAAAAUAUUUAAGUGUACAGGUACAUCAAAUUCUUAAAUUAAUAGUUAAAUGAGUAGUUUUUUCUACUGAAAAAUAUAAUUUUUUUAUCAUUUAUAAUUAUAAUAACUAAGCUUAUUUACCAAAAGCACAAUGAAAUAAAAUUGAUUUAUUUUUAAAUUUUUAUCACUCAUAAUAGAGAAAAUUGAUUAUUUUUUACAAUAAUAUGUAAAAAGUUUACUAUAAUUCUUAUAAAAAUGAAAUUAUGUUUUUUCUUAUGAAAUGAUACUUUCUAAAAUAUAAAUGCCAACAAAGAGUUCUUUACUUCAUAAAAAUAGUCGUUAUCCUUAAAUAAAAAAAGUCGUUAAUUUAUAAAUACAAAACACAAGAGUAUCGAUACACUUUAAUCUACGAGUAUACAGUAUAACGUCCUUGAUUUUUUCUUCUCUUAUCAAGUUGACAGAAAUGUUAGCUUUUUCACACCUAUCACAUCUCACCCAUGUGAUCAGAACAACAUUUUCUUGUAUGAUAAUCCCCACCAGGACUACCCUAUGUCUCGCUUUUACUUAGUCGUAGCUUCGUAAUGGCCACACGUUCAAAGUCCAAUUGUUAUGCAUCUUUCCUUCACCUAUAUUGGUUGGAAUAUAUUCUUUCUACUAUGAAUGUAUCGUCCAAAAACAUUCAAUUUUGUGUUUAUUGUUUAUUGUUUAAUGGGUUUUGUUAAUUGGGUAUGUGGAAAAAAUUAGCUUGUAAAAAUGAUGAUGCUAUGAAUUUGUUCGAAACCAACACUCCUUAAUUUUUUUUUGCAUUAUCCAUUACCACUUGCACUUUACUCUCUAGUUGCACCCUGUACUUUAUAAUAUCGAAAUCAAUAUAUAUUUACCUCUUGGACUACAUGCAUAUGCAGGAAGAAGUUGAAGCUAAUGCCUCUCUGGGGAAGAGUGGAAGAAAUUUGACUGUAAUUGCACUUGAAUUUAAACUGAAGAAAACUGGAAAUUUGGUUUAUCUUACUAAUGAGGGUCGUGAAAUUAGAGACCCAGCUCUCUUAUUAAUAAUAAGCCCUUAAAAAAUACAAUUUUUUUAAAAGAAAAAUAUAAAUAAUUUUUUUUUCAAAUAAUUAUAAUAUUUGUUGUUAUAUGUAGGCCAGUGGCGGAGCCACGUACCAUUGAGAGGAUGCACUUGCAUCCCCUGACUUUUAGAAAUUACUCCUAAAAUUUUGAUUUUUUUUCCACUAUGAACCUCCUGGCAUUUUUACUCUGCACCUCCUUACCAACUCUCAUAAGGCUGUUGGAUUGCUUCCACAUUCUCUUGCUAGAGUUUGUACCCUUUUGACUCUUUUUUGUUCACUUUUUUGCAAAUUGUACAUAUCAAGUGAUAAACUAUAGGAAACAUGGACAUAGGCAUGCUAGGCUCUCAAAUCAAUUUUACCUUUUAAUUUUAUCUUUAAGAAGCAUUUUCCUUUUACAUUUACCUUAAAUUUUGCUAAACUCCGGUUUGUGAAUUGUUCUCAUAUGCAAAUUAUAUAUUAUUAUUAUGGGUAGAAUAUAUGUCAGUUAAUAAUUCAUAAUUAUAAGAAUAUAUGUGUAGUUGUGUAAUUUUUAUUAGUAAUCAAAGUUGAAGAGCUUGACAAAAGAAAGCGAUCAUUUAAUUUAUCAACUAGAUGAGAACAUUUUUAAUGUUAUUAGAGUUUUUCUUUUUUUUGAACAAGUAUUAGAGUUUUUCUUUAACAACAAAAGAAUCAAUAUCUUUAAAAAAUGAAGAAUAAAUAUAUUCACGACUAAGUUCACAUGCAAGGAUGAAGCACAUGUGAGUAGUCCGCAUCUAGUAUAUUAUAUGAUUUUGGCAGGGUCGCCCUAAGUAUGGUUGGGAGAGCAGCAACUUAAGACACCAUUUUAUUAAAGACAUUAAAAUUAUUAUUUUUACUUAGUAAUUAGUAUUAUAUAGAAAUAUUUAUUAAAUUGCUUUGACUAAUUAUAUUGACAAAUAUUUUUAGAGAAUUUUGAUUAUGAAUGAAUAUUUUGCAACAAAAAGUACAAGAAAAAAAAACAUUGGAAUAAUUAUAAAGAACACAAUUUUAUUGAUUAAUAAGGACACAAAAAAUCUACGAAUCGACCUUAGAUUUUGGAUGUAAACAUUUAGCUUUUUUUUUUUUUUUUUUUAAGAAUUUAGCAUUGUGUCUGUUAUAGGUGUUAGUUUUGGCAUAAGAAUAUAUAUAUAUAUAUAUAUAUAUAUAUAUUAUAAUAAUUAUUAAUUAAUUAAAAUUUUAAAAGUUUGAACCCUCUGAUCUUGGGUCCUGACAACGCCACUGAUGUAGGCGAAUACAAGUGCUCUAGAAAAACAAGAAAAAAAGAAAGUAAUAUUGUACUUUCAUUUGUAAAUAUGGAGGCCUUGAGGAGGGAACUGAAUGGAAGGAGAAUAGAAAGUAGUGAUGACAUAUAGACCUCAAAUCCAUCAAAAUUAGGCCCAAAAGAGAUAAAAGAAAAAUACAAUUAAAAAAAAAAGGAACAUUUGCUAUAUAUGGGAAUUGAACGCACAACACUACCAUAGUUAAGGCCGCACCUUUUGUCUUGUAAAUGUUUCUAUGCUAUGUCUAUAUAUUAAAAUUUCAAUGCAUUAUAUAUUAAAAAAAUAUAUAUUUUGGACCACAAAAUAGGGGAGGCCCAACUCUAUAGAGUUGUUUGCACCUCCCCAUGGUCGGGUCUGUUACUCAUGCUACCUUCUAUAACAUGGCCAGCUUACCAUUUCCUAAAAUUGAGCUCUGGUGGGUCUUUUUAUUGUCAACUACACAUUUUGUGACCAGGCAUUUUAGAAACAUGGAAAAGUGAAGAAUCUUUUAUCCACAAUUUGGUUAUUUUAUCCUUCUCAAUCUCCACUUCCAUUAGUCAACUCCAAGCUUUAAUCAUUGGAUUACAUACAAGUGGUUUAAAUAAACAUUUACUUGACUUUUUAUUUGUUAUUAUAUUUUUAGGACAUUCCUUGAGCUUGUAAGAAAUGGACCAUUGCCAAGUUUUUUAUCAGAAGUAUUGUUUAAGGAUCUCAAGUUGCUAUUAUUGUUUUUUAGUAGUUGCUAUUAUUUAAAACCUAAAGUAUUUUUAAACCUAAAAUAUUUUUAUUCUUUUACACUAGACCACUAAAGUAUUUUUAUAUCAUUGUUUUUUAAACCUAAAGUAUUUUUAUUCUUUUACACUAGACCACUAACUCAAUCGAGAUUUGAAGUAGUCUUAGAAAGUAUGAUCAAUCUAGAUUUGAAGUAGUCUAGAAUUUCUGAAACAACUUAUGAGAAAGGAAAAAUAAUCUAUAUGAAUUCAUUCAUAGAAUUUUUUUUUUUUAAGGAAAAUGUAAAUGCACUUGUUAAAAAGUUCAAAAAAGGAGUUUUUAAUUGAAAUUGUUAGGUUAGACAUCGUGAUCAAUGUUUAUUCAGACCUCAGUUCCUCGUCUUUUUCUCAGUGUCUAAUAAUUAUUUUCAUUUCGUCUAUCUAUCUUAAAAAGAAAAAUUAAAAAUGAUGCAUUCAACAUUUUGAAACUCUAGAAAUUGUAUUUUUAUACAUAAAACUUAUCAUAUACUUCCUUUUUUUUUUUACUUCUUAACAAAUGUACUUAUCUAUAUAAUCUUUUUUUUUUUUUUAAAUUACCAUGUUAUUGGUACGAAAUUUCCACCAUGUUACCGAUGAUUAAUUAUCUCUAUCGGGGAACUUGUGGGACGCACAAAGUGUGUUCUGACCUUCCAAUCAAUUUCUUUUUUCUAACGUAAGAGCAAGAAAUCGAACGUAUUUAAGGGUCAAAAUCAUUUAUCACUUUGAUUAAUUGCAUUUUAUUUUACGAAUUUUAAAGCUUAAAAUUGAAGAGUUAUGGAAAAAAGAUCAUUUCGGAUUCUUAAAUCCGGAUAAAUCUGCAAUAUUCUAACAAUUUCGAAAAACUAAUUUCGGACCAGGGAUAAAAUUGGAAAAAAAAAAUAGAGCGCGCGAGGAAAGGCAUAGCGUGGAAAAAGUAAAUCUCAACAAAGAUUUAUGCUUUUGUCUAGUUCUUUGCUCUAUGGGUUGUUCAAACUCAUGACCAGUUUCUAAAUCCAAUAAAGAUAAAAGAAGUUGUCUUAAUUCAAUCCCCUGUUUUUUAACAAAUCCAAAACACCAAAAAAAAAUUAAUAUAUUUUAUCAAAAAAAUCUUGGUGAUACUAAGCGUUGCAUCUCCGUUGCCAACAAGCCGACUUUAGUUUUUCUUCUAGGUUAUCUCUUUCAUUGUCUUUAUUGAGAGGUGGUUUUGGGUCAACUUUUGACCCGAAAUCACUCUAAUUAUCUUUUUCUCUAUUUCAAUCUAAAUAAGUGUUUUUCACAUAGCUCUAGUUUUUUCUCCUUCAUGAUUUCGUCGAUGCGGCGUAGAGUUCAUCGUCUUGCGCAAUGUUGUUUGGUUUUCCGUUUUGUUGUUGUUUUCAUUUGGUUUCUAUUGAAAAAUCGACUAUUCCAUCAAUGAUUUGGGCGUCACCGUUGCUGAUUCGGAGGCAUAUGUAUUCUGGACAUUUUAAUUUUAUCAUAUUAUUUGUAGGUAUUUUGCUGUUGUAUGCUAUUGACUUGGAUGAUGUGAGUUUCUUCGCAUGAUGUUGAUUCGAGUGUAGCUCAGUUGAUAAAGAUAUUGUACAUAAUAUAUGCAACGACUAGGGUUUGAACCACACCCCAUUAUUCAUCUUUUUGUUUUUGAAAGAACCCCAUUUAUUCAUUAUAAAAGGCUACCUGACAUGGUUUUGAUUCUCCUAUGUUAAUCAGGUAUUCCUUAGCUAAUUUUAAAUUUAUUUUAAGGAUAAAAAAGGUUGAAACAAUGAUCUAUCUUUCAUGUUUCUCUUGCAUUAAUUUUUUUCCAAUAAAUAAAUUAAAUGUUAAUUUUUAUGUUUUUUCCGGUUAUAAAUAUAUAUUUAAUUCAUGUUUUGUUAGAUAAUUCUAAUAUUUUUGGGAGAGAUUUUUAUAAUAUUCUAAACUUUCCUGCAAAAUUUCUUUCGAAAUUCCGAUCGAUAAUCAUGAAUUUGUUCAUCAUAUAGUCGGCCUAUAUUAUUAGUCCAUAGUCCAACAAAAGUCAAACUUGUCAAAACAUAGAAGUUUGUUCUUCACACGACCUAUCCUAGUCGAAUAACGAUACUUCAUUCAACCUGAUGUCAGAUAAUUUGGUUUUUUGGUAUGAUCCACGAAAAUGGAAACAGAUAAUGAAUACAAUUGAACAAACGAAAGCCAUAAGUGACGUGAACAGCACCAGUUACAAUCCAAAGCUCACAUUUACAUUCUUUUCAUAAGCUAUUAUUGAGAGCUGAAGAACAUAAGCUGAAACCAACUUAUAGAGAUGACAUAAGCCUAACAAUUGCUUAUAACAUUAGAAAAAGAAAAACCGACUAGAAAUUGAAUCGAUGAGACAUCUAAGUCAUGAUUCAACUAGUUCAAUCGGUUCAAUUAUUGCCUGCAUGUCUUUACAUAAGCUGCAACAGAAUUUUAUAACAUGAGGUCUCCGCCAAAUCCAAUAUGCAAGAGUUCUUCAAGUACACCCCUGUUCAAAUUUUCAAACAUAAUUUCAAGUUAGUGAUUUCAAUUAUUAAUGUGUUAUUGAAAAAUUUGAAAAAGUGCGAAGUAAUUAAUCCACUAUCUAUUUUUAAUAACAAGCAAUUUUCCCUAAGAUACCUUAAGUCUUCUGUUUCUGCUGUUUCCAGAUUGGGAAGAGUUCCAUAGACACUUUGCUGAAAAUUCAUUGCUGGUGGAACUGUUUCUUCUUGCUCAUCAGAUUUAGAACCCUCCACUGUGUGAGUUUCCUUACUUGUCUCAGAUUCACAUCCUUCUUCUUCCUCGACAACUUGACCUUCUGAGGAAUAUAUCCAUCGAAAACCACACUCUUUUAUCGCUGCUUCCAUAUUUUCUUCAGUACGAGCAGCGAAGAAUUUAAAUGUAAGUUUUGGAUUGUGAAUGGCACUCAUGUCAUUGGCUUUUAUUUCUUUGAUUGCUUCCAUUAUUUGCUCGCAACAUUGUUUAUCAUACCAUAAAAACAAAUGAUCCGACCUUAUGGUAAUUGAAAAAAAAGGAUUAAACAUAACACUUUCACGUAGAAAGAAACUUUUUAUACUAAUACAUUCACCGCAAGUGGUUUCUAAGUAGCAAUCACAUCCAAGACUUGCACCAUCUCCAAUGCAAACUUGAGAAAAAACCAAGUAGAAAAUGAAACCCAAAUGAUCACUAGGAGGAAGUUCAAUAGACACCAAAGUUUGUGUAGAAUGGUAAUGGAACCAGUCUCCAUUUUUAAAAUUUCCAGCUGGUAACAUGUAGCAAAUCUUACCUUUUAUUAAAGUGUCCCAAAUAUAAGAGUCAUCAUGUAAAUCAUUGUAACCAUCAUCAUCAUUAUUAUCUGAAGCUGCUUCUUCCUUGUUUUCUAAUACAUCUGCUGGUAGUAGUGGUUUUGCUCCAAGUUCAAUCCUUGCAAUGGCAUCUUUCAAAAUGGAAACAAAUGAAUGUCGGUCCAAUUCUAUGCAGUUAGGGAGGAGAAAAGUAGACUUAUUUUGGUGUUUUUUGGUUUGUUGAUUUGUUGAAUUCAACACAUUAUGAAGAGAUUUACAGUACCAAACAUAGAACCACUGAAUUGAUUGUGGAAGAGAAGGUAUAGAUUGAAGCAUUUUACAAUAACGAGCUUCAAGAAACAUGAGUCUUGGAAGACAAUUAAUGCUUUCAGGUAAGCUUAUGAUA
RNAcentral lists this long non-coding RNA (11864 nucleotides) under Medicago truncatula (barrel medic). Its description in RNAcentral is "long non-coding RNA (MTRU_LNC006032)". The record is from RNAcentral. Lineage: Eukaryota; Viridiplantae; Streptophyta; Magnoliopsida; Fabales; Fabaceae.